UUCUGGACAAUGAGUGUAGAAAUUAAGCCAGGAUAUUCUGAUGGGUUUUAUAACUUUGGGAUUAGAGAAUAAAGGACAGCAUUAAUUCCUGAUACGAUUCCUUUAGUUUUUGACCAAAUUGAUCUAUGCUUGCUUCUAGCAUGUAUCCUCAAUUAAUCCUUCCAUAAAGAAAAACAAAACUAGUUUUAAUGCGGGAGCAGUUUGGAAUAGGCAUUUCCAUUUUCUUCCCUGCCUGCAGAGCUACAACUGCUGUGAUUGCUGUGACCUGGGUAAUGGCUGUUGCUUAGUCUUUUUCAUGAGUUAUGGAAAGUAAGUGAUAGUACUUGGGGUUUUUUUUUUUCCUUCAUGAAUUUUUCCUGCCUUUCUCAGGCAGUUGGAGUUAUUCAUGUGAGCUGUAGGCUGCAUAUUAUUGCCAACUUUCACACUCUAUCCAAUUUCUUACUACACCUGGUUAGGGAAGAGUUAAGUCAGACAUAGAUUUAUCAGAGAUAAAUGAAAUUUUAGGUGUCCAAAUACUACAAGGAGAGAGACACUCAUCUUUCUUUACCAAAUCUAGGAGGAGUCUAAGGUAACCAAGUUCUCACUUUUUAGGCUGGAUCUUGGAAUUUGUCACAAGCAUCUAAAAAGUGAUCUGUGAAUAGCUUUUUGGAUAAUGACCUGUCUAUCAUCCCAGAUACACCUACUGUUGAUUCAAGGAAAAAAAAAAUUAAUCUUAUCUCAGAGUAACUAAUUUUUCCUUGUUUGAUGCAAUGGCCAGAAAUAACUGGUUCCAGCUCCUUUCCUUAUACAUUUUCUGAGACAAUGAAUUCACAUCUAUCCAUCUAUCUCUGGAGAGGCUUCUUCCUCAGUAUGGCUUUCCACUCCUUUUUGGGAAUCCUUGCACUUUUUUUUUUUUUUUUUUAACAUGAGAAAUAAUUUUAAAAGUGGCUAACAUAAUACUUCAGAACCUCUGCCAGAGGAAGUGGUUGUUGCAGUUUGCAAACUGAGAGGGGAUGAAAAGAAGUUGACCAGUCAACUUCUCUGUUCAUUGGUGACCUGUAUUUCAAGGGGGGGGAUUGAACUUCUGUUUGGAGCUAACUUAUAAUUAUUGGUAUCUAAUGAGCCUGUACUUAAACCCCUACCCCAACCUAACCAAAACCUGCUUGAAAUGAAAUUUAAAAAAUAAGAAAAGGGCAGGAGAAAAUGGCUUUAUCAGAUAUCACGCAAAUGACAAACCUGUAGUCAGACAGCUCAGAUUCUGUAGCCUUAAUGGAUUUCUGGCAGAAGCCAAGAGUAAUAAUUAAAGUAAAAACCUUAAAGUAAUUUUUUUUUCCAGUCUGUUUAAACACAGACUGCUAUUUCAAAUGUCUGUAAAUAAAAAAAGCAGAAAGCAGAGCACAUUUAAUUUGGGAGUUGAGGAUUAUUGUUCUGCAGUAUGCUCCACUGCAUGCAGUCUUCAAAGCUAAUUCAUAUCCCACACUCUUUUUGUCAGCAAAUCAGUACAUAUUUAUAUCAGUUUUUAGAUUUAACUAGUAUUUGUUCCUUUAAAACCAUUUCUUGUAAUGCCAUAGGAAUGGCACUGCAGUCAUUUAUGUUUCUGUAGAACAUGUCUUUGAUAGUCUCAAGUGUAAAACUACAACAGGAAUACUGGUUUUUGAAAGAGGAAUUAAUGGCAGGAAUGGGGAUUGGAUGGAAGAAAUCAGGGAAACCUGCAAGUUCUGGUAGAGCUUUCUCAGAUCUGAUAGCGUGGAGAGUAACAGGUGCUGUGGCACUGGUAAAACGGUCUCUGACUUGAUAGCCUGAAAAUCAGCAGAUGCUUCAACUUCAUUCUUUCAUGCUAGAAGAAAAGGGUGAUCAUAUGUGGUGCUGGAGGCUGUCAGCUACUAGGUAGAGUUUGUGGAUGUUUGGUGAACUUAGAUCCCACCUGACCUCGAUGGGUUCACACGAAAAAGUCAUGAACCUGUCACAGAUCCCAGACAGAAUAUCGCUGAUUGUUCACGACUGAGUACUGAACUUCAGGUUGAUACUCAUGAGACUGGAGCAUCUUUUAGAGGAGAGACUGUGGGAGCUGGGCCUGUUUAGAGAAGACUGAGAGGGGAUUUCAUUAAUACAUACAAGUAUCUCAAAGCUGAGUGCCAGGAGGAUGGUGCCAGACUCUUUUCCAAUGAUGCCCAGUGACAAGACGAGGAGCAGU
Pezoporus occidentalis (night parrot) is the source of this 2173-nucleotide long non-coding RNA. RefSeq lists it as uncharacterized. NCBI's taxonomy places the organism in Eukaryota, Metazoa, Chordata, Aves, Psittaciformes, Psittacidae. The record is from RefSeq and is a predicted model, not a curated record. The transcript has 3 exons.